Molecule: ribosomal RNA, 505 nt
Filed under: Purpureocillium lilacinum
Lineage: Eukaryota; Fungi; Ascomycota; Sordariomycetes; Hypocreales; Ophiocordycipitaceae
Description: partial large subunit ribosomal RNA
Rfam family: Eukaryotic large subunit ribosomal RNA
Source: RNAcentral
GCGAGUGAAGCGGCAACAGCUCAAAUUUGAAAUCUGGCCCCCAGGGCCCGAGUUGUAAUUUGCAGAGGAUGCUUUUGGCGCGGUGCCUUCCGAGUUCCCUGGAACGGGACGCCAUAGAGGGUGAGAGCCCCGUCUGGUCGGACGCCUAGCCUGUGUAAAGCUCCUUCGACGAGUCGAGUAGUUUGGGAAUGCUGCUCUAAAUGGGAGGUAUAUGUCUUCUAAAGCUAAAUACCGGCCAGAGACCGAUAGCGCACAAGUAGAGUGAUCGAAAGAUGAAAAGCACUUUGAAAAGAGGGUUAAAUAGUACGUGAAAUUGUUGAAAGGGAAGCGCUUGUGACCAGACUUGGGCCCGGUGGAUCAUCCAGCGUUCUCGCUGGUGCACUCCGCCGGGUUCAGGCCAGCAUCAGUUCGCCGCGGGGGAAAAAGGCUUCGGGAACGUGGCUCCUACGGGAGUGUUAUAGCCCGUUGCAUAAUACCCUGGGGCGGACUGAGGUUCGCGCUCCGC